AGUGAACGCUGGCGGUAGGCCUAACGCAUGCAAGUCGAACGGCAGCACAGUAAGAGCUUGCUCUUACGGGUGGCGAGUGGCGGACGGGUGAGGAAUACAUCGGAAUCUACUUUUUCGUGGGGGAUAACGUAGGGAAACUUACGCUAAUACCGCAUACGACCUACGGGUGAAAGCAGUGGAUCUUCGGACCUUGCGCGAUUGAAUGAGCCGAUGUCGGAUUAGCUAGUUGGCGGGGUAAAGGCCCACCAAGGCGACGAUCCGUAGCUGGUCUGAGAGGAUGAUCAGCCACACUGGAACUGAGACACGGUCCAGACUCCUACGGGAGGCAGCAGUGGGGAAUAUUGGACAAUGGGCGCAAGCAUGAUCCAGCCAUACCGCGUGGGUGAAGAAGGCCUUCGGGUUGUAAAGCCCUUUUGUUGGGAAAGAAAAGCAGCAGGUUAAUACCCCGCUGUUCUGACGGUACCCAAAGAAUAAGCACCGGCUAACUUCGUG
RNAcentral lists this ribosomal RNA (492 nucleotides) under uncultured bacterium. Its description in RNAcentral is "partial 16S ribosomal RNA". It matches the Rfam family "Bacterial small subunit ribosomal RNA", at positions 29 to 507 of the family's 1533-position model. The record is from RNAcentral.